ACCUCGGAUCAGGUAGGGAUACCCGCUGAACUUAAGCAUAUCAAUA
RNAcentral lists this ribosomal RNA (46 nucleotides) under Ascomycota sp. 103 OA-2013. RNAcentral's name for it is "partial 28S ribosomal RNA". The record is from RNAcentral. Lineage: Eukaryota; Fungi; Ascomycota.